This 1472-nucleotide ribosomal RNA is filed under the name uncultured Bordetella sp. Its description in RNAcentral is "partial 16S-23S ribosomal RNA intergenic spacer". It matches the Rfam family "Bacterial small subunit ribosomal RNA". The record is from RNAcentral. Lineage: Bacteria; Pseudomonadati; Pseudomonadota; Betaproteobacteria; Burkholderiales; Alcaligenaceae.
GGUUCGAUUCUGGCUCAGAUUGAACGCUGGCGGGAUGUACUUUACAUGCAAGUCAGGCAGCACGGACUUCCGGUCUGGUGGCGAGUGGCGAACGGGUGAGUAAUGUAUCGGAACGUGCCUAGUAGCGGGGAUAACUACGCGAAAGCGUAGCUAAUGCCUGCAUACGCCCUUCGGGGAAAGCGGGGGACCUUCGGGCCUCGCACUAUUAAACGGCCGAUAUCAAGUUUAGCUAGUUGGUGGGGUAACGGCUCACCAGGCGACGAUCCAUAGCUGGUUUGAGAGGACGACCAGCCACACUGGGACUGAGACACGGCCCAGACUCCUACGGGAGCAGCAGUGGGAAAUUUUGGACAAUGGGGGAAACCCUGAUCCAGCCAUCCCGCGUGUGCGAUGAAGGCCUUCGGGUUGUAAAGCACUUUGGCAGGAAAGAAACGGCACGGGAUAAUACCCCGUGCAACUGACAGUACCUGCAGAAUAAGCACCGGCUAACUACGUGCCAGCAGCCGCGGUAAUACGUAGGGUGCAAGCGUUAAUCGGAAUUACUGGGCGUAAAGCGUGCGCAGGCGGUUCGGAAGAAAGAUGUGAAAUCCCAGAGCUUAACUUUGGAACUGCAUUUUUAACUACCGAGCUAGAGUGUGUCAGGGAGGUGGAAUUCCGCGUGUAGCAGUGAAAUGCGUAGAUAUGCGGAGGAACACCGAUGGCGAAGGCAGCCUCCUGGGAUAACACUGACGCUCAUGCACGAAAGCGUGGGGAGCAAACAGGAUUAGAUACCUGGUAGUCCACGCCUAAACGAUGUCAACUAGCUGUUGGGGCCUUCGGGCCUUGGUAGCGCAGCUAACGCGUGAAGUUGACCGCCUGGGGAAGUACCCAAUUCGCAAGAUUAAAACUCAAAGGAAUUGACGAGGGACCCGCACAAGCGGUGGAUGAUGUGGAUUAAUUCGAUGCAACGCGAAAAACCUUACCUACCCUUGACAUGUCUGGAAUCCCGAAGAGAUUUACAGUGCUCGCAAGAGAACAAGACACAGGUGCUGCAUGGCUGUCGUCAGUUCGUGUCGUGAGAUGUUGGGUUAAGUCCGCAACGGCGCAACCCUUGUCAUUAAGUUACUACGAAAGGGCACUCUAAUGAGACUGCCGGUGACAAACCGGAGGAAGGUGGGGAUGACGUCAAGUCCUCAUGGCCCUUAUGGGUAGGGCUUCACACGUCAUACAAUGGUCGGGACAGAGGGUCGCCAACCCGCGAGGAGCGUCCCAGAAACCCGAUCGUAGUCCGGAUCGCAGUCUGCAACUCGACUGCGUGAAGUCGGAAUCGCUAGUAAUCGCGGAUCAGCAUGUCGCGGUGAAUACGUUCCCGGGUCUUGUACACACCGUCCGUCACACCAUGGGAGUGGGUUUACCAGAAGUAGUUAGCCUAACCGUAAGGAGGGCGAUUACACGGUAAGUUCAUGACUGGGGUGAAGUCGUAACAAAGGUAA